RNAcentral lists this unclassified non-coding RNA (358 nucleotides) under Hevea brasiliensis (rubber tree). The record is from RNAcentral. Lineage: Eukaryota; Viridiplantae; Streptophyta; Magnoliopsida; Malpighiales; Euphorbiaceae.
GGGGAACGUCACUGAAUUCAUCACCAUUUGAAUGAUGCAAUAUCCAUGAUGACUUCUUUUGAAGAUGAUCUUGAGAUUGUGUGCCAAUUUUAGAAGGACAAUCCUCAGUUAGAAACAGUUUUACCUGACAAAGAUUAACACCUGGUGCCCACGUUACCCUGUUCGAUUUCCUCUGUCGCUUCAUAUCUUAUAGAUUGAUUGCUUCAAUCAAAAAGUUUCACAAAUAGGUUCCAGUAACUGACAAAUUUAAUCAGAUCUAAUGAAGAAAAAUAUUUCAAAAACUUUAUCACUGAAAACGCGAGACGGAUUUAACACCCUAAAAAGAUUUAAAUUGAUUUCUUAUACUUGCGUGCUCGAG